Molecule: ribosomal RNA, 253 nt
Filed under: uncultured bacterium
Lineage: Bacteria
Description: partial 16S ribosomal RNA
Rfam family: Bacterial small subunit ribosomal RNA
Source: RNAcentral
UACGUAGGGUGCAAGCGUUGUCCGGAAUUACUGGGCGUAAAGCGUGCGCAGGCGGUUCGUUGUGUCGGUGGUGAAAGCCCCGGGCUCAACCUGGGAAUGGCCAUGGAAACUGGCGAACUGGAGUGUGGCAGAGGGGGGUGGAAUUCCGCGUGUAGCAGUGAAAUGCGUAGAGAUGCGGAGGAACACCGAUGGCGAAGGCAGCCCCCUGGGCUAGCACUGACGCUCAGGCACGAAAGCGUGGGGAGCAAACAGG